GGCGAACGCUGGCGGCGUGCUUAACACAUGCAAGUCGAACGGUGAAGCGCCUUCCUUUUUGGUGGGUGUGGAUGAGUGGCGAACGGGUGAGUAACACGUGAGUAACCUGCCCCCUUCUUCUGGAUAACCGCAUGAAAGUGUGGCUAAUACGGGAUAUUCUGGGUCUGUCGCAUGAUGGGUCUGGGAAAGAUAUUGUUUCGGUGGGGGAUGGGCUCGCGGCCUAUCAGCUUGUUGGUGGGGUGAUGGCCUACCAAGGCGGUGACGGGUAGCCGGCCUGAGAGGGUGGACGGUCACACUGGGACUGAGACACGGCCCAGACUCCUACGGGAGGCAGCAGUGGGGAAUAUUGCACAAUGGGCGCAAGCCUGAUGCAGCGACGCCGCGGGAGGGAUGGAGGCCUUCGGGUUGUGAACCUCUUUCGCCAGUGAAGCAGGCCUGCCUCGUUUGUGGGUGGGUUGACGGUAGCUGGAUAAGAAGCGCCGGCUAACUACGUG
RNAcentral lists this ribosomal RNA (494 nucleotides) under uncultured bacterium. Its description in RNAcentral is "partial 16S ribosomal RNA". It matches the Rfam family "Bacterial small subunit ribosomal RNA", at positions 28 to 507 of the family's 1533-position model. The record is from RNAcentral.